This 915-nucleotide ribosomal RNA is filed under the name uncultured bacterium. RNAcentral's name for it is "bacterial SSU rRNA". It matches the Rfam family "Bacterial small subunit ribosomal RNA", at positions 8 to 916 of the family's 1533-position model. The record is from RNAcentral.
AGAGUUUGAUCCUGGCUCAGGAUGAACGCUAGCGGCAGGCUUAAUACAUGCAAGUCGUGGGGCAGCAGGUUUGUAGCAAUACAGAUGCUGGCGACCGGCAAACGGGUGCGGAACACGUACGCAACCUCCCUCUAACUGGAAGAUAGCCCAUCGAAAGGUGGAUUAAUACUCCAUAUUAUAUUGAAGUGGCAUCACUUUAAUAUUAAAGCUCCGGCGGUAAGAGAUGGGCGUGCGUCUGAUUAGGUAGUUGGCGGGGUAACGGCCCACCAAGCCUACGAUCAGUAGCUGAUGUGAGAGCAUGAUCAGCCACACGGGCACUGAGACACGGGCCCGACUCCUACGGGAGGCAGCAGUAAGGAAUAUUGGUCAAUGGACGCAAGUCUGAACCAGCCAUGCCGCGUGGAGGAUGACGGUCCUCUGGAUUGUAAACUUCUUUUCUCUGGGACGAAACCCUCGAUUUUCAUCGAGCCUGACGGUACCAGAGGAAUAAGCACCGGCUAACUCCGUGCCAGCAGCCGCGGUAAUACGGAGGGUGCAAGCGUUAUCCGGAUUCACUGGGUUUAAAGGGUGCGUAGGUGGGCAGGUAAGUCAGUGGUGAAAUCUCUGGGCUUAACCCGGAAACUGCCAUUGAUACUAUUUGUCUUGAAUUCUCUGGAGGUAAGCGGAAUAUGUCAUGUAGCGGUGAAAUGCUUAGAUAUGACAUAGAACACCCAUUGCGAAGGCAGCUUACUACGGAGAUAUUGACACUGAGGCACGAAAGCGUGGGGAUCAAACAGGAUUAGAUACCCUGGUAGUCCACGCCCUAAACGAUGAUUACUCGACAUUAGCGAUAUUACUGUUAGUGUCUAAGCGAAAGCAUUAAGUAAUCCACCUGGGAAGUACGAUCGCAAGAUUGAAACUCAAAGGAAUUGACGG